RNAcentral lists this transfer RNA (76 nucleotides) under Clostridium acetobutylicum. RNAcentral's name for it is "tRNA-Trp". It matches the Rfam family "tRNA". From Rfam's summary of the family: Transfer RNA (tRNA) molecules are approximately 80 nucleotides in length. Their secondary structure includes four short double-helical elements and three loops (D, anti-codon, and T loops). Further hydrogen bonds mediate the characteristic L-shaped molecular structure. tRNAs have two regions of fundamental functional importance: the anti-codon, which is responsible for specific mRNA codon recognition, and the 3' end, to which the tRNAs corresponding amino acid is attached (by aminoacyl-tRNA synthetases). tRNAs cope with the degeneracy of the genetic code in two manners: having more than one tRNA (with a specific anti-codon) for a particular amino acid; and 'wobble' base-pairing, i.e. permitting non-standard base-pairing at the 3rd anti-codon position. RNAcentral also lists the same sequence under 4 other names. The record is from RNAcentral. Lineage: Bacteria; Bacillati; Bacillota; Clostridia; Eubacteriales; Clostridiaceae.
AGGGGUAUAGCUCAAUUGGUAGAGUAACGGUCUCCAAAACCGUCGGUUGUGGGUUCGAUUCCUACUGCCCCUGCCA